UAACCCUUGUGGAGGAGGACGCCGAAGGUGGGGCUAAUGACUGGGGUGAAGUCGUAACAAGGUAGCCGUACCGGAAGGUGCGGCUGGAUCACCUCCUAACAGGGAGACAACAAAAUGUUUAGUAUUAUUAUUUUGUCACCUUAGGUCGAUCGGUAUCUCACAUUCUUAAUUUAUUAAGAAUUUCAUUUCCUAAGUUUUUCUAGGUCACACCCAUUAUUUUUCCUGGGCCAUUAGCUCAGGUGGUUAGAGCGCACCCCUGAUAAGGGUGAGGUCCCUGGUUCAAGUCCAGGAUGGCCCAUAUCUCUAUGUUGGGGGUAUAGCUCAGUUGGUAGAGCGCCUGCUUUGCAAGCAGGAUGUCAGCGGUUCGAGUCCGCUUACCUCCACUGAUUACCACCUCUUCCGUAAUUUAUAGAAAGGAAAUUUUUUGAGUUGUGAUCAAAUUCUGAACGAAUCUAGCUUCCUAAUGAAAUCAUUAAGAUGCUGGACUCAUUGAAUUAAUUUCAUUGUUUUCAGAGAACCUUGACAACUGCAUAGAUUAUUUUUAAAGACAAUAAGCAUCUUUAAUGAUGCAGAUUUAUUAUUUGUGCGAAUGCAUUAAUAACAAUUCUAUUAAGCUGAUGCUUCAAUUUUGAAGUUAUUGGUCAAGCUACAAAGGGCUCACGGAGGAUACCUAGGCACAC
This 680-nucleotide unclassified non-coding RNA is filed under the name uncultured Prochlorococcus sp. Its description in RNAcentral is "partial may contain 16S ribosomal RNA, 16S-23S ribosomal RNA intergenic spacer, and 23S ribosomal RNA". The stretch from base 1 to 99 matches the Rfam family "Bacterial small subunit ribosomal RNA", at positions 1436 to 1533 of the family's 1533-position model. Lineage: Bacteria; Bacillati; Cyanobacteriota; Cyanophyceae; Synechococcales; Prochlorococcaceae. The record is from RNAcentral.